This 253-nucleotide ribosomal RNA is filed under the name uncultured bacterium. RNAcentral's name for it is "partial 16S ribosomal RNA". It matches the Rfam family "Bacterial small subunit ribosomal RNA", at positions 524 to 776 of the family's 1533-position model. The record is from RNAcentral.
UACGGAGGAUCCAAGCGUUAUCCGGAUUUACUGGGUUUAAAGGGUGCGUAGGCGGAUUGAUAAGUCAGUGGUGAAAUCCUGCAGCUUAACUGCAGAACUGCCAUUGAUACUGCCAGUCUGGAGUAUGGUUGAGGUAGCUGGAAUGUGUCAUGUAGCGGUGAAAUGCUUAGAGAUGACACAGAACACCGACGGCGAAGGCAGGUUACCAACCCAUUACUGACGCUGAGGCACGAAAGCGUGGGGAUCAAACAGG